This 179-nucleotide ribosomal RNA is filed under the name Enterococcus faecium. RNAcentral's name for it is "partial 23S ribosomal RNA". It matches the Rfam family "Bacterial large subunit ribosomal RNA", at positions 2749 to 2925 of the family's 2925-position model. Lineage: Bacteria; Bacillati; Bacillota; Bacilli; Lactobacillales; Enterococcaceae. The record is from RNAcentral.
CUAUGUAGGGAAGGGAUAAACGCUGAAAGCAUCUAAGUGUGAAGCCCACCUCAAGAUGAGAUUUCCCAUUUCUUUAAGAAAGUAAGAUCCCUGAGAGAUGAUCAGGUAGAUAGGUCAGGAGUGGAAGUACAGUGAUGUAUGGAGCGGACUGAUACUAAUCGAUCGAGGACUUAACCAAU